AACGAACGCUGGCGGCGUGCUUAACACAUGCAAGUCGAACGCGCCUGUCCUCUGGGUUUCUGGGGGUGGGUGAGUGGCGAACGGGUGAGUAACACGUGAGUAACCUGCCCCCUUCUUCGGGAUAACGGUCUGAAAGGGCUGCUAAUACCGGGUAUUCACUGGUCUCCGCAUGGGGUCUGGUGGAAAGGUUUUUUUCUGGUGGGGGAUGGGCUCGCGGCCUAUCAGCUUGUUGGUGGGGUGAUGGCCCACCAAGGCUUUGACGGGUAGCCGGCCUGAGAGGGUGACCGGUCACAUUGGGACUGAGAUACGGCCCAGACUCCUACGGGAGGCAGCAGUGGGGAAUAUUGCACAAUGGGCGCAAGCCUGAUGCAGCGACGCCGCGUGAGGGAUGGAGGCCUUCGGGUUGUGAACCUCUUUCGCCCGUGGUCAAGCCGCGACGUGGGUCGUGGUGAGGGUAGUGGGUAAAGAAGCGCCGGCUAACUACGUG
RNAcentral lists this ribosomal RNA (487 nucleotides) under uncultured bacterium. RNAcentral's name for it is "partial 16S ribosomal RNA". It matches the Rfam family "Bacterial small subunit ribosomal RNA", at positions 28 to 507 of the family's 1533-position model. The record is from RNAcentral.